AGAGCGAACGCUGGCGGCAGGCCUAACACAUGCAAGUCGAGCGCCCGUAGCAAUACGGGAGCGGCAGACGGGAUAGUAACACGUGGGAACGCGCCCUUCGGUUCGGAAUAACUCAGGGAAACUUGAGCUAAUACCGGAUACGCCCUUACGGGGAAAGAUUUAUUGCCGAAGGAACGGCCCGCGUCCGAUUAGCUAGUUGGUGAGGUAAUGGCUCACCAAGGCGACGAUCGGUAGCUGGUCUGAGAGGAUGACCAGCAUCACUGGGACUGAGACACGGCCCAGACUCCUACAGGAGGCAGCAGUGGGGAAUAUUGGACAAUGGGCGCAAGCCUGAUCCAGCCAUGCCGCGUGGAUGAUGAAGGCCCUAGGGUUGUAAAGUCCUUUAACGGGGAAGAUAAUGACGGUACCCGUAGAAUAAGCCCGGCUAACUUCGUGCCAGCAGCCGC
This 446-nucleotide ribosomal RNA is filed under the name uncultured bacterium. RNAcentral's name for it is "SSU rRNA". It matches the Rfam family "Bacterial small subunit ribosomal RNA", at positions 26 to 518 of the family's 1533-position model. The record is from RNAcentral.